RNAcentral lists this unclassified non-coding RNA (84 nucleotides) under Pseudomonas helmanticensis. The record is from RNAcentral. Lineage: Bacteria; Pseudomonadati; Pseudomonadota; Gammaproteobacteria; Pseudomonadales; Pseudomonadaceae.
UGUAGGAGCUGCCGAAGGCUGCGAUCUUUUGAUCUUGAUCUUAAAAACAACAUCAAAAGAUCGCAGCCUUCGGCAGCUCCUACA